Molecule: transfer RNA, 19 nt
Filed under: Meliosma myriantha
Lineage: Eukaryota; Viridiplantae; Streptophyta; Magnoliopsida; Proteales; Sabiaceae
Also listed under: 3 other names
Description: partial tRNA-Leu
Source: RNAcentral
GCCGCCAUGGUGAAAUCGG